RNAcentral lists this unclassified non-coding RNA (2604 nucleotides) under Anthonomus grandis grandis. Its description in RNAcentral is "dNA polymerase zeta catalytic subunit". The record is from RNAcentral. Lineage: Eukaryota; Metazoa; Arthropoda; Insecta; Coleoptera; Curculionidae.
AUGGGCGCGUUCUAACUACAAAUUGUAUCAGGCGCGUUCCAAGCGCGUCGCGUUCAAUGUAUACGCGCCUUUAUAAACCAGGACACAGCAAGUGGUUUGAAAAUGAAAACUUGAAAAGCCAUAGCAGUUUAGAGCACAGAAAACAAACCAAGGAUCCUCCAAUUUCCCUUUGUUUUCUGUGGUUUAGAGUUUAGACUGAUUCAGUUCAGCUGAGUUUUUUAGUUCUUUCAGUUGUUGCAGUUUUACUUACAAUUAAUCCCUUCUUUAUCUGUUUCUUUCUACAAAUAUUAGUAAGUUGGUCUUUAUCCUCCUAACCAAUCAACACUAUCUGGUAAACAGUUGUAAGUCUGCAUGCCUACUAGCAUCAGAUAAUUUUUUAAUAAUGCCAAAUCCAAAUCAAGUAAGGAUAGUCGUAAUUGACUACUACAUGUCUUCCCCAAUACCUGGACUAGAUUUAACAUAUUCUGAAUUUCGUAGUUCUGCAAUUACACAUGUUCCUGUGCUAAGAUGUUUUGGAUCAGAUAAAAAUGGAAAAAAAACAUGUGUACAUAUUCAUGGAGUAUUUCCUUAUUUAUAUAUUCCAUAUAAUGGGAAAGGAAAUUCAGAGGAGCAUAUGUACAAAAUAGCAAUGGCAUUGGAUAAGGCUAUAAAUAUAUCAUUUAAUCAAGCCAGCUCAAAUGCUCAACAUGUUUAUAAGAUAUGUUUGGUAUCUGGAAUACCGAUGUACGGAUAUCACUUAAACCAGCACCAAUUUUUUAAAAUAUUUCUGUAUAAUCCGGCCCUCAUUGCAAAAGUAGGAGAUAUAUUACUUAGAAGAACGGCUUUGGAUGAAAUUUAUCAGCCACACGAAGCCCAUCUAAAUUUUACCCUUCAGUUUAUGAUCGACUAUAAUCUCCAUGGAAUGAGCAGUAUGUUAAUUUCUGAUAUUAAAUACAGGACGAAUCCUGAUGAAAAGUAUUCUGAUCUGGACGAAACUUUGCGUCGACCAAAUAUAAUUAAGAGAACCUCAAUAUGUGAACUAGAAGGUGAUAUAAACGCUGAACAUAUCCUAAACAGGCAAGAAACCGUAGGCGUUAAUCCAGGCAUUGCCGCUUUGUGGGAUGAUGAAAAGCUGAGAAGAAGGAAUAAGGGUGAAAACUCGCAGUUAGGAAAUUUUUUAGAACUACAGGAUAUUGAUACAGAUUCUACAAAAACUCACUUGAUAUUUCAGCAGAGUCUUAGAGAACGACUAGCUGUUUUAGUCACAAAUGAAGAUAUACAAAAACAAAGUCUGGAUGUAUCAAUCUACCCAGCAGAAAUUCCAAGACAUACCAAAUCGAAUUUCCAAAAUGCAUCACAAAUUGAUAUUCAUUCUACUUCCUCACUGGAGUUAUCAUUAGAUGAAACUUUUAGCGUUACUUGUAGUCAGGGCUUAUAUGAUACUAUAACGCCUAACGAGUCACAAUUUGAUGUUAGUCUUGAUGAGGAAGCACAGGAGUUUUUAAAUAUGUUGCAACAUAUGGCUAAUGACAAGGGUGCACAAAAUGGAGUUGAAGAAGAUGAAGAAUGUAUUCUAUCCCAGGUGGAGGCAGAAGAUGUAAACGAUGACUCUAAUGAACAUUUUCUUGAUUUAAGUAUGCCAUUGGAAUCGCUCGCGACACCUACAAAAAGUACUAAUGAGAAUAUUUUGCAAUUGGAUGGUUUUGUGGAUGAUUGGCUUUCUGAUUCUGAUAACGAGUCAUUGGCCACGUUACGUAAAAAAUGGCAUUGCGAACAACCUUCUUCUCAAUUAACAGGCAGGCAGUAGCCGCGUUUAUUAAUUAUUACUUGGCUUCUCAAAGUGGUGAGAGAUAAGUAAUACCCGAGUCCGUGAUGUCAUAAUUACUAUCCGUAUAGCAACAGAGCAGAGGAAAAUGUCACAUCGGUCAGAUUAAAAUGCAGCAAAUCAAUGCCACUUCUAGAGUCCACGUGCCAAGUUCACAAAAACCAAAAUAAUUUAUUUAAGCAUAAAGAAGUACAACCUGACAAAUUAAAACUAAAUGUCGUCGUCCUACUUGAGCGCAUUCAAGUUGAAAAAAUAGCUAACAUAGAACCUUUAGAUUUGAUAAAAACAUUAAAUAAAAAUGUUGCUGCGGUAAAGUAUCCGUAUUUUAAUAAACGUAGUCCCGAAGAUAUAUUUGAAGAUAAUAUGCGGCUGAUUAAAUUUAGAAUGGAACGAUUAAUUAGCAGGAGAAAACUCAAGGUUAUUGGGGACAAGUUGAGGAUCAAAUAUAAAAAAGCAGUAAAAUUGUCGAAGAAAAUCAGUUUGUCGCCAAAAUUUAACCUCGUUUCUGCAAAACGGCGGUGGUUAGGUGUCCCGACAAAAAGAAGUCGAGGCGAGUCAAAUAAUUACUCUGCAUCCGAAAUUGUUAUUCAGAGAACAAGCUCUACACCUAACAUGUAUUUUAACUGUGAUGGCUUAGUGGACAGCACUUCUUCUGAUGACGAACAAGGGUUGGGAUCAAAAGAAAAAAAAUCUGUAAAGCAGCCUUUGGAUAUUAUUGUUAAGAAUUCGCCUAGGAUAUUGGAAAACUUUCAGCGAGGUGUGGCUAAAAACUUACCGAAGGCAGAUGAGAGUGACAAAUA